RNAcentral lists this ribosomal RNA (301 nucleotides) under uncultured bacterium. RNAcentral describes it as "partial 16S ribosomal RNA". It matches the Rfam family "Bacterial small subunit ribosomal RNA", at positions 509 to 807 of the family's 1533-position model. The record is from RNAcentral.
CAGUCGCCGCGGUAAUACGGAGGGUGCAAGCGUUAUCCGGAUUUAUUGGGUUUAAAGGGUCCGUAGGCGGAUCUGUAAGUCAGUGGUGAAAUCUCACAGCUUAACUGUGAAACUGCCAUUGAUACUGCAGGUCUUGAGUAAAUUUGAAGUGGCCGGAAUAAGUAGUGUAGCGGUGAAAUGCAUAGAUAUUACUUAGAACACCAAUUGCGAAGGCAGGUCACUAAGAUUUAACUGACGCUGAUGGACGAAAGCGUGGGGAGCGAACAGGAUUAGAUACCCCGGUAGUCCCUGUCUCUUAUAC